CUUUUCCAAACAACUUGGUCAAAACUGAAAGCAAUUUGGGAACUGAGGAAGCCAGCUGCUGGCUGGGGAUGCUGACAAUACAGUGGUCACCUUGGACCAGAGAUGGGAGCCUCAUGUGGAGGGUCACUGAACCACCUCAGGUGGUCUGAACCACCUGCCUCUGGAUUUUGCUGUGAGUGAAAAAAAACUUAUGGAAGGUUUCUUAUCUGUCUCCUCCCACCAGGAUCUAAGGCACCACAAAGGUCUGGAACAAUUCCAUAGCCAGGAUGGUACCUGUCCCCGUGUUCUCGAUGCAGCCGUACUGGGGCAGGGCGCUUAGCUUAAUGAUGGCAUCCUCCUGGAAACUGUCCUCAGCAGCAGCAGCGAAGAAAUGGUGA
Molecule: long non-coding RNA, 377 nt
Organism: Bubalus bubalis (water buffalo)
Lineage: Eukaryota; Metazoa; Chordata; Mammalia; Artiodactyla; Bovidae
Exons: 4
Source: RefSeq, a predicted model, not a curated record